ACCUCGAAUCAGGUAGGACUACCCGCUGAACUUAAGCAUAUCAAA
RNAcentral lists this ribosomal RNA (45 nucleotides) under Metarhizium guizhouense. RNAcentral describes it as "partial 28S ribosomal RNA". The record is from RNAcentral. Lineage: Eukaryota; Fungi; Ascomycota; Sordariomycetes; Hypocreales; Clavicipitaceae.